This 284-nucleotide ribosomal RNA is filed under the name Leyella stercorea DSM 18206. Its description in RNAcentral is "Prevotella stercorea DSM 18206 partial 16S ribosomal RNA". The stretch from base 57 to 284 matches the Rfam family "Bacterial small subunit ribosomal RNA", at positions 549 to 776 of the family's 1533-position model. The record is from RNAcentral. Lineage: Bacteria; Pseudomonadati; Bacteroidota; Bacteroidia; Bacteroidales; Prevotellaceae.
UCUUUUCCUUUUUUUCCCUCCUCCUCUUUCCUCCUUCCUUUCCUUUCUUUAUCCUUAUUUAUUUUUUUUAAAGGGAGCGUAGGCCGUUUGGUAAGCGUGUUGUGAAAUGUCGGGGCUCAACCUGGGCAUUGCAGCGCGAACUGCCAGACUUGAGUGCGCAGGAAGUAGGCGGAAUUCGUCGUGUAGCGGUGAAAUGCUUAGAUAUGACGAAGAACUCCGAUUGCGAAGGAAGAAUGAUGUAGAGAAAAGGAGGAGGAAGAGAGAAAGAGGGGGGAUAGAAAAGG